RNAcentral lists this ribosomal RNA (439 nucleotides) under uncultured bacterium. Its description in RNAcentral is "bacterial SSU rRNA". It matches the Rfam family "Bacterial small subunit ribosomal RNA", at positions 958 to 1400 of the family's 1533-position model. The record is from RNAcentral.
AACGCGAAGAACCUUACCUGGGUUUGGCAUCCUCUGAACGCCGUAGAGAUACGGAAGGCCCGAAAGGGACAGAGAGACAGGUGCUGCAUGGCUGUCGUCAGCUCGUGUCGUGAGAUGUUGGGUUAAGUCCCGCAACGAGCGCAACCCUUAUUUUUAGUUGCCAGCAUUAAGUUGGGCACUCUAAAAAGACUGCCAACGUUAAGUUGGAGGAAGGCGGGGAUGACGUCAAGUCCUCAUGGCCUUUAUAUCCAGGGCAACACACGUUCUACAAUGGCCGGUACAAAGCGCUGCGAAAUCGUGAGAUGGAGCUAACCGCAAAAAACCGGUCUAAGUUCAGAUUGGAGUCUGCAACUCGACUCCAUGAAGUUGGAAUCGCUAGUAAUCGCGGAUCAGAACGCCGCGGUGAAUACGUUCCCGGGCCUUGUACACACCGUGUCGA